Lonchura striata (white-rumped munia) is the source of this 1104-nucleotide non-coding RNA. The record is from RefSeq and is a predicted model, not a curated record. NCBI's taxonomy places the organism in Eukaryota, Metazoa, Chordata, Aves, Passeriformes, Estrildidae.
CCGCCCGCUCCCCCCGCCCGGUGCGCGCCCGCGCCGCCGCUCGCCCGGGCCGGAGCGCCCAUGGCUGUCCUCGCUCCCGGAAGGUUCCAAGGUUCCAGUCGCAGGCACAGCCCAGCCGUAUCUGGUCCCUUGCAUGGAGCUUUGCUGACCUGAAAAUCUGCUCCAGAACUUUUGGAGAAAACACUAAAGCAGCACAAGGCCAUUUAACCUUACAACUUGAGCCCUGCAGAUAAGGUGCAAGGAAGAAACAUAGAAACAUGCCCCGGAGUCAAGGUUUGUGUGACAGGGAGAGAAUUGCUUUUUGGAUCUAGGCUGGAUUCCUGGGCAGUUGUCAUGUGGCUGAAAGUAUGCCCCAGAUGGAGUUUCCUCCAUUUGGCUGCAAAACAGCAAUGGUAAUGUAAGUAUACGAGGCUUAACUGUACAACAGCAGCAAGACAUUCUCUGAAGGACAGACAUCCUUGGGCCCAUGCUCAGUCCUAUUUCUUAUGCCUGCCUCAGGAGCUUAGUGCCCCAUACUUCAUCUCUAGGCAUUCUUCACUAAAAACAGUGCAAACAGGAGCAAACUGUAAAACAGGCCAUAGCUACAUCAUGUAGAAGGGAACAUCUUCCCAAUUCUAUUCCUAGAAAUCUUCUGUUCAGUAUUUGUGGCACAUGUAGCUCCUGGUUGCAUAGGACAUGACAGAUCACCCUUAUUCAGGUUUUUGAUUCUGAAGUAUCACACUUUGAAGCAAACAUCUCUAGCAUGGUAUUUUGCACUAAGAGCAGAAUUAAACAUAGUACAGAUACAUAUUUGUAUUUCCAUAGAGUAUUCAGAAUUUAACUUCCUAGAAAACUGUGUAUGAAUGGGUAAAUGCCUCAAUAGCAAAGAUAACAGGCAUACACUAUGAAAUACCUAAUCCAAUUUCAUAUUCAUUAUGGCAGCUCUUUUUAACCGAAGGGAAAAGUCUGCAAAAUGUACUCUGUUACUAGGAGAGGAGUGGUUAAGGAACAUACAGCACAGAAUACUCGCACAGGCACACCCUAUAUCUGUGGCAAAAAAUUACUUAUGCUCCUGAGAGAAACAAAUUGUUCAGAAAAAGACAAUAAAACUGGUUCAAAAUGCAA